GAUGAACGCUGGCGGCGUGCCUAAUACAUGCAAGUCGAACGAACAGACGAGGAGCUUGCUCCUCUGACGUUAGCGGCGGACGGGUGAGUAACACGUGGAUAACCUACCUAUAAGACUGGGAUAACUUCGGGAAACCGGAGCUAAUACCGGAUAAUAUAUUGAACCGCAUGGUUCAAUAGUGAAAGACGGUUUUGCUGUCACUUAUAGAUGGAUCCGCGCCGCAUUAGCUAGUUGGUAAGGUAACGGCUUACCAAGGCAACGAUGCGUAGCCGACCUGAGAGGGUGAUCGGCCACACUGGAACUGAGACACGGUCCAGACUCCUACGGGAGGCAGCAGUAGGGAAUCUUCCGCAAUGGGCGAAAGCCUGACGGGGCAACGCCGCGUGAGUGAUGAAGGUCUUCGGAUCGUAAAACUCUGUUAUUAGGGAAGAACAAAUGUGUAAGUAACUAUGCACGUCUUGACGGUACCUAAUCAGAAAGCCACGGCUAACUACGUG
RNAcentral lists this ribosomal RNA (497 nucleotides) under uncultured bacterium. RNAcentral's name for it is "partial 16S ribosomal RNA". It matches the Rfam family "Bacterial small subunit ribosomal RNA", at positions 28 to 507 of the family's 1533-position model. The record is from RNAcentral.